UAGGGAAUAUUGGUCAAUGGAUGCAAGUCUGGACCAGCCAUGCCGCGUGCAGGAAGAAGGCCUUCUGGGUUGUAAACUGCUUUUGCCGGGGGAUAAAAUUCCCAUGCGUGGGACAUUGAAGGUACCCGGUGAAUAAGCCACGGCUAACUACGUGCCAGCAGCCGCGGUAAUACGUAGGUGGCAAGCGUUGUCCGGAUUUAUUGGGUUUAAAGGGUGCGUAGGCGGCCUAUUAAGUCAGUUCUGAAAUAUCCCGGCUUAACCGGGAGGGUGGGAUUGAUACUGAUGGGCUUGAGUGGAGUCGAGGUAGGCGGAAUUGACGGUGUAGCGGUGAAAUGCUUAGAUAUCGUCAAGAACACCGAUAGUGUAGACAGCUUACUAGACUUCAACUGACGCUGAGGCACGAAAGUGUGGGGGAUCAAACAGGAUUAGAUACCCUGGUAGUCCACACUGUAAACGUUGAUUACUCGCUGUGUGCGAUAUACAGUACGCGGCUUAGCGAAAG
RNAcentral lists this ribosomal RNA (502 nucleotides) under uncultured Bacteroidota bacterium. RNAcentral describes it as "bacterial SSU rRNA". It matches the Rfam family "Bacterial small subunit ribosomal RNA", at positions 355 to 857 of the family's 1533-position model. The record is from RNAcentral. Lineage: Bacteria; Pseudomonadati; Bacteroidota.